UUACGCAGCCGGGGAAGUAGCGGCUCCCUGUACCUGAAAUCCGCUAUAGCAGGGGUGAUAUCUCGCCGAGGGUGUUUAUGAUGCAUAGCAGCCCUUGGUUAUCUGAUGUUGAGACCCGGGUCUCACGCGACGAAAAUCUGUGAACCGUGUCAGGUCAGGAAUGAAGCAGCACUAAGCAGAAGCUUUCGGGUGCCGUGAGGUCGCCUAGGUUGAGUCAGAUGCCAUCGAAGCGUAUGUGUUUUUGCAUUCGAAGCGAGAUGCGUAU
This 265-nucleotide signal recognition particle RNA is filed under the name Lachnospiraceae bacterium. RNAcentral describes it as "signal recognition particle sRNA large type". It matches the Rfam family "Bacterial large signal recognition particle RNA". Rfam says of the family: The signal recognition particle (SRP) is a universally conserved ribonucleoprotein involved in the co-translational targeting of proteins to membranes. Archaeal SRP consists of a 7S RNA and homologues of the eukaryotic SRP19 and SRP54 proteins. Lineage: Bacteria; Bacillati; Bacillota; Clostridia; Lachnospirales; Lachnospiraceae. The record is from RNAcentral.